This is a small nucleolar RNA of Solanum dulcamara, 90 nucleotides long. RefSeq annotates it as small nucleolar RNA Z122. The transcript has a single exon. The record is from RefSeq and is a predicted model, not a curated record. Lineage: Eukaryota; Viridiplantae; Streptophyta; Magnoliopsida; Solanales; Solanaceae.
GUUGGGAAAUGAUGAGACUAUAUCGAUAUAUCAGAGGCACAAUUAUUUGUGCUCUGCUGAAUAAAUUUUGCACGUCAGUCUGAUCCCAAU